AAGUCGUAACAAGGUUUCCGUAGGUGAACCUGCGGAAGGAUCAUUACUGAUUUGCUUAAUUGCACCACAUGUGUUUUUUAUUGAACAAAUUUCUUUGGUGGCGGGAGCAAUCCUACCGCCAGAGGUUAUAACUAAACCAAACUUUUUAUUCACAGUCAAACUUGAUUUAUUAUUACAAUAGUCAAAACUUUCAACAACGGAUCUCUUGGUUCUC
Molecule: unclassified non-coding RNA, 214 nt
Filed under: Candida tropicalis
Lineage: Eukaryota; Fungi; Ascomycota; Pichiomycetes; Serinales; Debaryomycetaceae
Description: partial internal transcribed spacer region
Rfam family: Eukaryotic small subunit ribosomal RNA (bases 1-46)
Source: RNAcentral